GACAGCACGAAAGCGUGGUUCUUCUUGCUUCUUGGUAUAUCCAAGCUUUCCAGUCUUCUCAUUCAAGACAAACCAUCGCCUGCUCCACCCAUUAGUUUUUGCACUUUUCUUUAACAAGAAACCAGCUGUUAUCUCUCCCUCAGGACCUGCUGUCUUCAAACCCGAACUUUCCUUCUCUUCCUUCUCUUCCUUACUAGGUUUUUCUUUCAUUGAUUUCAAGCUUCCACCAGCUUGCUGACUAUUUGUUUGAGGACUACUUGCCCUGUUUAACACCGCUUGUUCAGCCUCUUGUCCUUUUUUUGAUGAUCUAGUCUUCACUUCCUCUUCCCGGCGCUGUCUUUCCAUCCUUCUUUGUACGAGACGUAUAAAGUGCUGUGGUGGGACAAAUGCUCUCUCCAUGUCAACUAACGCCACGACCAUCUUUUUU
RNAcentral lists this unclassified non-coding RNA (427 nucleotides) under Hevea brasiliensis (rubber tree). Lineage: Eukaryota; Viridiplantae; Streptophyta; Magnoliopsida; Malpighiales; Euphorbiaceae. The record is from RNAcentral.